RNAcentral lists this ribosomal RNA (305 nucleotides) under uncultured bacterium. Its description in RNAcentral is "bacterial SSU rRNA". It matches the Rfam family "Bacterial small subunit ribosomal RNA", at positions 337 to 657 of the family's 1533-position model. The record is from RNAcentral.
GCCUACGGGACGCAGCAGUGGGGAAUAUUGGGCAAUGGGCGCAAGCCUGACCCAGCAACGCCGCGUGAAGGAAGAAGGCUUUCGGGUUGUAAACUUCUUUUCUGGGGGACGAAGAAAGUGACGGUACCCCAGGAAUAAGCCACGGCUAACUACGUGCCAGCAGCCGCGGUAAUACGUAGGUGGCAAGCGUUAUCCGGAUUUAUUGGGUGUAAAGGGCGUGUAGGCGGAAUGCAAGUCAGAUGUGAAAACUAUGGGCUCAACCCAUAGCCUGCAUUUGAAACUGUAUUUCUUGAGUGCUGGAGAGG